UACGGGGGGAGCAAGCGUUGUUCGGAUUUACUGGGCGUAAAGGGCGCGUAGGCGGCCAGCACAAGUCAGUUGUGAAAUCUCCGAGCUUAACUCGGAAAGGUCAACUGAUACUGUGCGGCUAGAGUGCGGAAGGGGCAACUGGGAUUCUUGGUGUAGCGGUGAAAUGCGUAGAUAUCAAGAGGAACACCUGCGGCGAAGGCGGGUUGCUGGGCCGACACUGACGCUGAGGCGCGAAAGCUAGGGGAGCGAACGGG
Molecule: ribosomal RNA, 254 nt
Filed under: uncultured bacterium
Lineage: Bacteria
Description: partial 16S ribosomal RNA
Rfam family: Bacterial small subunit ribosomal RNA
Source: RNAcentral